AUCAACUUUCGAUGGUAGGAUAGAGGCCUACCAUGGUGGUAACGGGUAACGGGGUGUUAGGGCACGACACCGGAGAGGGAGCCUGAGAAACGGCUACCACAUCCAAGGAUGGCAGCAGGCGCGCAAAUUACCCAAUCCCGACACGGGGAGGUAGUGACAAUAAAUAACAAUACGGGGUUCUUUAGGAUCUCGUAAUUGGAAUGAGUACAAUUUAAAUCUCUUAACGAGGAACAAUUGGAGGGCAAGUCUGGUACCAGCAGCCGCGGUAAUUCCAGCUCCAAUAGCGUAUAUUAAAGUUGUUGCAGUUAAAAAGCUCGUAGUUGAAUUUCGAGACCGGUUUACUGGUCGUGCUUUUGUACGUACUGGUAUUAUUGGUUUCUCCUUUCUGACGAAUCAUAAUGCCAUUAAUUUGGUGUUUUGGGGAAUCAGGACUGUUACUUUGAAAAAAUUAGAGUGUUUAAAGCAGGCUCACGCUUGAAUACAUUAGCAUGGAAUAACGAAAUAGGACGUUUGAUUUUAUUUUGUUGGUUUCUAGGAUCGACGCAAUGAUUAAUAGGGAUAGUUGGGGUCAUUAGUAUUCAAUUGUCAGAGGUGAAAUUCUUGGAUUUAUUGAAGACUAACUACUGCGAAAGCAUUUGCCAAGGAUGUUUUCAUUAAUCAAGAACGAAAGUUAGGGGAUCGAAGACGAUCAGAUACCGUCGUAGUCUUAACCAUAAACUAUGCCGACUAGGGAUCGGAUGAUGUUAUUUUUUAAUGACUCAUUCGGCGCCUUACGGGAAACCAAAGUGUUUGGGUUC
Molecule: ribosomal RNA, 797 nt
Filed under: uncultured Glomus
Lineage: Eukaryota; Fungi; Glomeromycota; Glomeromycetes; Glomerales; Glomeraceae
Description: SSU rRNA
Rfam family: Eukaryotic small subunit ribosomal RNA
Source: RNAcentral